UCCUCAUCGCGAUUUCCAGAGAUGAUUUCUUCAGUUCGGCUGGCGAGAACACAGGUGUUGCAUGGCUGUCGUCAGCUCGUGUCGUGGGAUGUUGGGUUAAGUCCCGCAACGAGCGCAACCCUCGCCUUUAGUUGCCAUCAUUUAGUUGGGCACUCUAGAGGGACUGCCGGUGAUAAGCCGGAGGAAGGUGGGGAUGACGUCAAGUCCUCAUGGCCCCUACGGGUUGGGCUACACACGUGCUACAAUGGCGGCGACAAUGGGCAGCGAAGGGGCGACCCGGUGCAAAUCCCAAAAAGCCGUCUCAGUUCGGAUUGUACUCUGCAACUCGAGUGCAUGAAGGUGGAAUCGCUAGUAAUCGCGUAACAGCAUGACGCGGUGAAUACGUUCCCGGGCCUUGUACACACCGCCCGUCACACCAUGGGAGUUGGUUUUACCCGAAGCUGGUGCGCUAACCGCAAGGAGGCAGCCAACCACGGUAAGGUCAGCGACUGGGGUGAAGUCGUAACAAGGUAGCCCUAGGGGAACCUGGGGCUGGAUCACCUCCUUAAGCUUGGAUUCCCGGG
RNAcentral lists this ribosomal RNA (563 nucleotides) under uncultured bacterium. RNAcentral describes it as "bacterial SSU rRNA". It matches the Rfam family "Bacterial small subunit ribosomal RNA", at positions 978 to 1533 of the family's 1533-position model. The record is from RNAcentral.